Molecule: ribosomal RNA, 305 nt
Filed under: uncultured bacterium
Lineage: Bacteria
Description: bacterial SSU rRNA
Rfam family: Bacterial small subunit ribosomal RNA
Source: RNAcentral
GCCUACGGGAGGCAGCAGUAGGGAAUCUUCCACAAUGGGCGAAAGCCUGAUGGAGCAACGCCGCGUGGGUGAAGAAGGUCUUCGGAUCGUAAAACCCUGCUGUUAGAGAAGAAAGUGCGUGAGAGUAACUGUUCACAUUUCGACGGUAUCUAACCAGAAAGCCACGGCUAACUACGUGCCAGCAGCCGCGGUAAUACGUAGGUGGCAAGCGUUAUCCGGAUUUAUUGGGCGUAAAGGGAACGCAGGCGGUCUUUUAAGUCUGAUGUGAAAGCACUCGGCUUAACCGGAGUAGUGCAUUGAAAACU